RNAcentral lists this ribosomal RNA (638 nucleotides) under uncultured bacterium. Its description in RNAcentral is "bacterial SSU rRNA". It matches the Rfam family "Bacterial small subunit ribosomal RNA", at positions 615 to 1256 of the family's 1533-position model. The record is from RNAcentral.
GAGGGAGGUCGUUCAAUACUGCAGAACUUGAGGGCAGCAGAGGGGGGUGGAAUUUCCCGGUGUAGUGGGUGAAAUGGCGUAGAUAUCGGAAGGAACCCCCAGUGGCGAAGGCGGCCCCCUGGGCUGCUCCAUGACGCUGAAUGCGAAAGCUAGGGGAGCCGAACGGGAUUAGAAACCCCGGUAGUCCUAGCCGUAAACGAUGGAUACUAGGCGUAGAGGGUCCAAUAAAUCCCCUCUGUGCCGAAGCUAACGCGUUAAGUAUCCCCGCCUGGGGACUACGGUCGCAAGGCUAAAACUCAAAGGAAUUGACGGGGACCCGCACAAGCAGCGGAGCGUGUGGCUUAAUUCGAUGCAACGCGAAGAACCUUACCAGGGCUUGACAUGCAGGUAGUAGUGAAGCGAAAGCGGAACGAUCCUUCGGGAAGCCUGCACAGGUGCUGCAUGGCUGUCGUCAGCUCGUGCCGUGAGGUGUUAGGUUAAGUCCUGUAACGAGCGCAACCCUCGCCGCUAGUUAUAUGUGUCUAGCGGGACUGCCCGGCUCAACUGGGAGGAAGGUGGGGACGACGUCAAGUCAGCAUGGCCUUUAUGUCCUGGGCGACACACACGCUACGAUGGCCGGUACAAUGGGUAGCCAAGCC